AUUGAACGCUGGCGGCAUGCUUUACACAUGCAAGUCGAACGGUAACAGGGUGCUUGCACCGCUGACGAGUGGCGAACGGGUGAGUAAUACAUCGGAAUGUACCCAGUAAUGGGGGAUAACGCUUCGAAAGGAGUGCUAAUACCGCAUACGCCCUGAGGGGGAAAGUGGGGGACCGCAAGGCCUCACGUUAUUGGAGCAGCCGAUGGCUGAUUAGCUAGUUGGUGAGGUAAAGGCUCACCAAGGCGACGAUCAGUAGCGGGUCUUAGAGGACGAUCCGCCACACUGGAACUGAGACACGGUCCAGACUCCUACGGGGGGCAGCAGUGGGGAAUCUUGGACAAUGGGCGAAAGCCUGAUCCAGCAAUGCCGCGUGCGUGAAGAAGGCCUUCGGGCUGUAAAGCGCUUUUGUCUGGGAGCAAAUCCUGGCCUCUAAUACAGGUCGGGGAUGAGAGUACCAGAAGAAUAAGGACCGGCUAACUACGUGCCAGCAGCCGCGGUAA
Molecule: ribosomal RNA, 500 nt
Filed under: uncultured bacterium
Lineage: Bacteria
Description: partial 16S ribosomal RNA
Rfam family: Bacterial small subunit ribosomal RNA
Source: RNAcentral